AGAAUCAACGCUGGCGGCGUGCCUAACACAUGCAAGUCGCACGAGAAAGGGUAGCAAUACCUGAGUAAAGUGGCGCACGGGUGAGUAACACGUGAAUAAUCUACCUCCGAGUGGGGAAUAACUGAGAGAAAUCUUAGCUAAUACCGCAUAACACUUACGAGUCAAAGCAGUAAUGCGCUUGGAGAGGAGUUCGCGGCAGAUUAGCUAGUUGGCGGGGUAAUGGCCCACCAAGGCGAUGAUCUGUAUCCGGCCUGAGAGGGCGCACGGACACACUGGAACUGAAACACGGUCCAGACUCCUACGGGAGGCAGCAGUGGGGAAUUUUGCGCAAUGGGGGAAACCCUGACGCAGCAACGCCGCGUGGAGGAUGAAAUCCCUUGGGAUGUAAACUCCUUUCGAUAGGGAAGAUAAUGACGGUACCUAUAGAAGAAGCCCCGGCUAACUUCGUGCCAGCAGCCGC
RNAcentral lists this ribosomal RNA (460 nucleotides) under uncultured bacterium. RNAcentral's name for it is "SSU rRNA". It matches the Rfam family "Bacterial small subunit ribosomal RNA", at positions 26 to 518 of the family's 1533-position model. The record is from RNAcentral.